Triticum aestivum (bread wheat) is the source of this 2168-nucleotide long non-coding RNA. RefSeq lists it as uncharacterized. The transcript has 4 exons. NCBI's taxonomy places the organism in Eukaryota, Viridiplantae, Streptophyta, Magnoliopsida, Poales, Poaceae. The record is from RefSeq and is a predicted model, not a curated record.
UAUCCACCUUACUUGUUAUUCUAAACAAAAUCACACGGCGUCUUCACGGGCGAUUGGAUCUGAGCUUGAGGCGGAGAUGGCGGAGGACGGAGGCAGAGGCCGCCGUCUCUGCCGGUCGACGACGGAGAAACGGCCGCAACCGAGGAGGACGGCCAUGGAGGGGAGAGUGCUGCCUCGAUCCGGAUGAGGGGAGUAGCAGCUGCGACCUCGAUGCGGAUGAGGAGAGCAGCAAUCGCGCCCGGCGGCCUCGGCUAGGAGCUUUGCCCUCUUAUUCCCGCGCGGUGCAGCGGCGACCUGAGGACGAGUUCGAGGCACAGUGGUCGUUCCAGCACACGAUGCCGGGGGAGGCGGCGGUGCUUCCUUGCCUCAUCUGUUCUCCUUAUCUGAGGUCCGUCCGACGGCAGAUGCACACCCGACGUCGUCAUGGAGGCUCCGACCCCGAGGCACCCUCCCUGCUUCCUUCUGGUUGCAUCUCCCCCUGAUUCUAUUUUAUCCAUGCCUACACGAUGCACAACAAAACUCCUAGCAGGCUUGCAAUCUCACGCGUAAGGGAAGAUGUGUUCCUCUCUGGCUAGCACCUGCUCGAUCAAAUGCCUAGCCAUUUCAAUCGUUUAUUGUAGGAAAUAUAAGGUGCACCCAAAUAGGAGGCCAUUCUGUGCAGCCUAUUCUUUUCAGUUCUAGGAAUCCUAUGGUAGAGGGUGGUGUUAGUUCUAUAAAUAACUUUCAGACAUCUGUAGUUUUUCAGGUUGUAGCGUGACAACUUUGAUCAAAAUUUGUUUCAGUUGACUCUACAUUCCAUUCGUUGAUUUUGUGUUCUUAACUGAAAUCAGAGUUUGUUGAUGUAAGUGACUUGGAUUAGUAUUCUUCUCUUUGCUAUGCUAAUAUUCACCUUGCUUCAGUUGACCCCACUUUCCGUUCAUUGAUUUUGUGUUCUUAACAGAAAGCAGAGUUUGUUGGUGUAAGUGACUUGGAUCAGUAUUCUUCUUUUUGCAUAUGCUAAUAUUCACCUUUAACAGCUGCUAAAGUAUCAUGGCAUUAUAUCAAACUCUGCUCUGCCCAAAUUUUCCAGGCCUGAAGAGAGGAAGUAGGCCGGCGGCAAGGAUCCAGUGACGAGCGCCUCCGUAGCGCAGAUACUUUGGAUCUAUGUGCUUUGGCCAAAUUGGUCGAGCCUGAGACUGAUUAGAAGGACAGAUGGGCCUGGAAGAUACACCAGAAACAGAAGAAAAAGUUCUCAAAAUUGCGAAAGAGCGAUAUAGAGGCCGGUGAUCAACUCUAAGCUCCACUUACAAGGCAUACAAAACAGAUGCAGCUAGAUUGGCUAAUCUGCCGGAAGAUUUACAACCGGAAGAGUGAAUGGAUGAUUGAGUACUUUGGCACUGAUUCAAAAUUUCAGGAACACAACCGAAAGAACACUGAUAACCGUAAGAAACAGAAGACAAAACACAGAAUUAGAUCAAAAUCUUACUCGCAACUAAGUUUUGAUAAGGUAUGAGUCUAAGUAAAUAUGUAUGCCUUGCUGCUAACUCUCACACACACGAAGAAUGGAACAUGGUCUAACACAGAAUCCCAGGAUGUUUAAGUGAGUAACUGACUUUUGGUUAUUCUAUAGUUAUUCAAUGAUGUGCAUUCGGCAUGCUUCUGCAUCAGCUGGGAUUAUUCAUGUGUUGGAUCGUGUUAUUCUUGUUUCAUCUUUUAUAGUGUAAAUAUUGAUGCGGCACCUAUAAUUGUUCUUUCCGUUUUGAGGACAAAACACAUAAUAGGUUGAAAACAAAGAAACUGAAACUCAUGGUCCACUUUCAAGUGAGCAUGUCAUUGGCCUUCAUAAUUAGCUAGCUGCUUCUUCUCUUUCACCAUGCGUUGCUGCUGCAUUGAGUCACAACUUAAAAAAAUGAAUAUGUGCUAGCUAGGGACAUGAACUUAACUGAAACUAUAGAUCGAGUCACAACUUAAAUCAAUAGCGGAAGCUUUUAGUACAUGUACUUGUGUAUACACUUUAGACAUUUACACUUGUAAAACUGUUCUGACCCCUCAGUUACAUGGUUGCUGACACAGUAUUACUCCUCCAGGUAGUUUGGCAACAAUUCGUUUUAACAAUGGGUCUGGAAUAAUUGUAUGGCAUAUGUUAUGUUGGACUCAUUAACUAGAACUAUAUUUUUUUGAUUUCUUGA